Molecule: ribosomal RNA, 441 nt
Filed under: uncultured bacterium
Lineage: Bacteria
Description: partial 16S ribosomal RNA
Rfam family: Bacterial small subunit ribosomal RNA
Source: RNAcentral
CCUACGGGUGGCAGCAGUGGGGAAUAUUGGACAAUGGGCGAAAGCCUGAUCCAGCAACGCCGCGUGAAGGAAGAAGGCCUUCGGGUUGUAAACUUCUGUUCUUCGGGAAGAACAGAUGACGGUACCCAAGGAGGAAGCCCCGGCUAACUACGUGCCAGCAGCCGCGGUAAUACGUAGGGGGCAAGCGUUAUCCGGAUUUAUUGGGUGUAAAGAGUAUGUAGGGGGCAAGCUAAGCGGAGGGUUAAAGGCAAUGGCUCAACCAUGGUUCGCACUUGGAACUGGCCGUCUUGAGUGCAGGAGAGGAAGGCGGAAUUCCUAGUGUAGCGGUGAAAUGCGUAGAUAUUAGGAGGAACACCAGUGGCGAAGGCGGCUUUCUGGACGGUAACUGACACUGAGGUACGAAAGCGUGGGGAGCAAACAGGAUUAGAUACCCUAGUAGUC